AGCAGCCGCGGUAAUUCCAGCUCCAAUAGCGUAUAUUAAAGUUGUUGCAGUUAAAAAGCUCGUAGUUGAAUUUCGGGAUCAGUUGGUCGGUCGUGCCUCGGUACGUACUGGUCAAAUUGAUUCCUACCUUCUGACGAACCACGAUGUCAUUAAUUUGGUGUCGCGGGAAAUCAGGACUGUUACUUUGAAAAAAUUAGAGUGUUUAAAGCAGGCUCGCGCUUGAAUACAUUAGCAUGGAAUAAUGAAAUAGGACGUUUGAUUCUAUUUUGUUGGUUUCUAGGAUCGACGUAAUGAUUAAUAGGGAUAGUUGGGGGCAUUAGUAUUCAAUUGUCAGAGGUGAAAUUCUUGGAUUUAUUGAAGACUAACUACUGCGAAAGCAUUUGCCAAGGAUGUUUUCAUUAAUCAAGAACGAAAGUUAGGGGAUCGAAGACGAUCAGAUACCGUCGUAGUCUUAACCAUAAACUAUGCCGACUAGGGAUCGGAUGAUGUUAAUUUUUUAAUGACUCAUUCGGCGCCUUAC
Molecule: non-coding RNA, 520 nt
Filed under: uncultured Glomus
Lineage: Eukaryota; Fungi; Glomeromycota; Glomeromycetes; Glomerales; Glomeraceae
Also listed under: 1 other name
Description: SSU rRNA
Rfam family: Eukaryotic small subunit ribosomal RNA
Source: RNAcentral